Molecule: small nuclear RNA, 196 nt
Filed under: Cephalotus follicularis
Lineage: Eukaryota; Viridiplantae; Streptophyta; Magnoliopsida; Oxalidales; Cephalotaceae
Description: U2 spliceosomal RNA
Rfam family: U2 spliceosomal RNA
About the family: U2 is a small nuclear RNA (snRNA) component of the spliceosome (involved in pre-mRNA splicing). Complementary binding between U2 snRNA (in an area lying towards the 5' end but 3' to hairpin I) and the branchpoint sequence (BPS) of the intron results the bulging out of an unpaired adenosine, on the BPS, which initiates a nucleophilic attack at the intronic 5' splice site, thus starting the first of two transesterification reactions that mediate splicing.
Source: Rfam by way of RNAcentral
AUACCUUUCUCGGCCUUUUGGCUAAGAUCAAGUGUAGUAUCUGUUCUUAUCAGUUUAAUAUCUGAUAUGUGAACCAUUGGUUCACACGAUAUUAAAUUAAUUUUUUGAAGGGGAAGACUCGUUACAAUAGCUUGCUAUUGGGGUCUUCAAGUGUCGCCCAUGCGUUGCACUACUGCAAGGGCUUGGCGCACCCUCC